Molecule: ribosomal RNA, 497 nt
Filed under: Phratora laticollis
Lineage: Eukaryota; Metazoa; Arthropoda; Insecta; Coleoptera; Chrysomelidae
Description: partial 16S ribosomal RNA
Rfam family: Bacterial large subunit ribosomal RNA
Source: RNAcentral
UAAUUUAAAGUCUGACCUGCCCAAUGAUUAAUUUAAUGGCCGCGGUAUUUUGACCGUGCUAAGGUAGCAUAAUCAAUAGUUUUUUAAUUGAAAGCUGGAAUGAAGGGUUUGAUAAAAAAAUAACUGUCUCUAUUUAAUUUUAUUAGAAUUUUAUUUUUAAGUUAAAAAGCUUAAAUUUUAUUAAAAGACGAGAAGACCCUAUAGAGUUUUAUAAUUAUUUUUAUUUUUAUUUUUAGGAUUUAUUUUAUUAAUAAAAAUAAUUAUUAGGUUGGGGUGAUUGAAAAAUUUAAUAAACUUUUUUUAUAUAGAUACAUAUAUAAAUGAUUAAUUGAUCCAUAUUUAAUGAUUAUAAGAUAAAAUUACCUUAGGGAUAACAGCGUUAUUUUUUUUGAGAGUUCAAAUCGAAAAAAAAGAUUGCGACCUCGAUGUUGGAUUAAAAUUAAUUUUUGGUGUAGGAGCUAAAAAAUUAGGUCUGUUCGACCUUUAAAAUUUUACAU